Molecule: ribosomal RNA, 429 nt
Filed under: uncultured bacterium
Lineage: Bacteria
Description: bacterial SSU rRNA
Rfam family: Bacterial small subunit ribosomal RNA
Source: RNAcentral
UAGGGAAUUUUGCGCAAUGGACGAAAGUCUGACGCAGCAACGCCGCGUGAGUGAUGAAGGUCUUCGGAUUGUAAAGCUCUGUUGAGUGGGAAGAAAAUCUUUGGGAAUAAUACCCCAAAGUCUGACGGUACCACUUGAGGAAGCCCCGGCUAACUACGUGCCAGCAGCCGCGGUAAUACGUAGGGGGCAAGCGUUGUUCGGAAUCACUGGGUGUAAAGGGAGCGUAGGCGGAAGGAUAAGUUAGAAGUUUAAUGUACGGGCUUAACUCGUAACCUGCUUCUAAUACUGUUUUUCUUGAGUAUGGGAGAGGGAGAUGGAAUUCCAGGUGUAGCGGUGGAAUGCGUAGAUAUCUGGAAGAACACCAGCUGCGAAGGCGGUCUCCUGGCCCAAUACUGACGCUGAGGCUCGAAAGCUAGGGGAGCAAACAGG